Molecule: ribosomal RNA, 410 nt
Filed under: Proteus mirabilis
Lineage: Bacteria; Pseudomonadati; Pseudomonadota; Gammaproteobacteria; Enterobacterales; Morganellaceae
Description: bacterial SSU rRNA
Rfam family: Bacterial small subunit ribosomal RNA
Source: RNAcentral
GGCCGGGUCUAGGGCUGUGCUGCGCGUCAGCGACGCGGGCGUCAUUAAGUCAGAUGUAGAAGCCCCGAGCUUAACUUGGGAAUUGCAUCUGAAACUGGUUGGCUAGAGUCUUGUAGAGGGGGGUAGAAUUCCAUGUGUAGCGGUGAAAUGCGUAGAGAUGUGGAGGAAUACCGGUGGCGAAGGCGGCCCCCUGGACAAAGACUGACGCUCAGGUGCGAAAGCGUGGGGAGCAAACAGGAUUAGAUACCCUGGUAGUCCACGCUGUAAACGAUGUCGAUUUAGAGGUUGUGGUCUUGAACCGUGGCUUCUGGAGCUAACGCGUUAAAUCGACCGCCUGGGGAGUACGGCCGCAAGGUUAAAACUCAAAUGAAUUGACGGGGGCCCGCACAAGCGGUGGAGCAUGUGGUUUA